RNAcentral lists this ribosomal RNA (810 nucleotides) under uncultured Bacteroidota bacterium. RNAcentral describes it as "bacterial SSU rRNA". It matches the Rfam family "Bacterial small subunit ribosomal RNA", at positions 65 to 889 of the family's 1533-position model. Lineage: Bacteria; Pseudomonadati; Bacteroidota. The record is from RNAcentral.
AGGGGGCAGCAAUGUCACCGGCGAACGGGUGCGUAACGCGUAUGCAACCUACCUACAUCAGGGGGAUAGCCCUAGGAAACUGGGAUUAACACCGCAUAACAAUAGAGUUGGCAUCAACUUUAUUUGAAAUAUUUAUAGGAUGUAGAUGGGCAUGCGUAGGAUUAGCUAGUUGGUAAGGUAACGGCUUACCAAGGCUACGAUCCUUAGGGGCUCUGAGAGGAGUAUCCCCCACACUGGCACUGAGAUACGGGCCAGACUCCUACGGGAGGCAGCAGUAGGGAAUAUUGGGCAAUGGAGGCAACUCUGACCCAGCCAUGCCGCGUGCAGGAAGACGGUCCUCUGGAUUGUAAACUGCUUUUGAAUGGGAAGAAUGUGAUGCUUGCGAGCGUUAAUGACGGUACCAUUAGAAUAAGCCACGGCUAACUACGUGCCAGCAGCCGCGGUAAUACGUAGGUGGCGAGCGUUAUCCGGAUUUAUUGGGUUUAAAGGGUGCGUAGGCGGCUUAAUAAGUCGGUGGUUAAAAGUAGCAGCUUAACUGUUUUACAUGCCAUCGAUACUGUUGAGCUUGAGAUAUUUGGAGGCAGCUAGAAUUUCCGGUGUAGCGGUGAAAUGCAUAGAUACCGGAAGGAAUACCAAUUGCGAAGGCAGGUUGCUACGAAUAAACUGACGCUGAUGCACGAAAGCGUGGGGAUCAAACAGGAUUAGAUACCCUGGUAGUCCACGCCGUAAACGAUGAUUACUAGUUGUUGGGGUUUAAGCCUCAGUGACCAAGGGAAACCGAUAAGUAAUCCACCUGGGGAGUACGCCGGC